UACGGAAGCAGCAGUGGGGAAUAUUGCACAAUGGGCGCAAGCCUGAUGCAGCCAUGCCGCGUGUAUGAAGAAGGCCUUCGGGUUGUAAAGUACUUUCAGCGGGGAGGAAGGCGAUGCGGUUAAUAACCGCGUCGAUUGACGUUACCCGCAGAAGAAGCACCGGCUAACUCCGUGCCAGCAGCCGCGGUAAUACGGAGGGUGCAAGCGUUAAUCGGAAUUACUGGGCGUAAAGCGCACGCAGGCGGUCUGUUAAGUCAGAUGUGAAAUCCCCGGGCUUAACCUGGGAACUGCAUUUUGAAACUGGCAGGCUUGAGUCUUGUAGAGGGGGUAGAAUUCCAGGUGUAGCGGUGAAAUGCGUAGAGAUCUGGAGGAAUACCGGUGGCGAAGGCGGCCCCUGGGACAAAGCUGACGCUCAGGUGCGAAAGCGUGGGGAGCAAACAGGAUUAGGAUACCCGGU
RNAcentral lists this ribosomal RNA (457 nucleotides) under uncultured bacterium. RNAcentral's name for it is "bacterial SSU rRNA". It matches the Rfam family "Bacterial small subunit ribosomal RNA", at positions 340 to 791 of the family's 1533-position model. The record is from RNAcentral.